AUGCUAUUUGUGUUCUUCAUAUCCCCAAUUAAUUUAAUCAGUCUUACUUUUGACAUAAAACGCAAGUUGACUUUGAACCCCUUCUCCACCACAGGCAAGGUCGAACCCCAACACCGAGAAGGUAUCUUGGCACCAAAUCAUCGCGAGAAGAAGGGAUGUGUUGGUGUGCACGAGAUAAAGCAACCUUGUUCAGAAGUGCUUUAUCAAGUUCCUGUAAAAAAGCUUUCUAGAUAUAACAUUAUGUUUACAGUUUCGCUCGGCUUCCCUAAUCCCAAAGGUAAUAAUAUGAUUCCUUUAUGUUGUUUGCCCAGAUUCAGAAGUGAAUUUUUGCGGUAUAUUUGCUUGUUGUGUGUACUGUAA
This 360-nucleotide ribosomal RNA is filed under the name Triticum aestivum (bread wheat). Its description in RNAcentral is "partial small subunit ribosomal RNA". The record is from RNAcentral. Lineage: Eukaryota; Viridiplantae; Streptophyta; Magnoliopsida; Poales; Poaceae.